This 74-nucleotide transfer RNA is filed under the name Gemmataceae bacterium. It matches the Rfam family "tRNA". Rfam says of the family: Transfer RNA (tRNA) molecules are approximately 80 nucleotides in length. Their secondary structure includes four short double-helical elements and three loops (D, anti-codon, and T loops). The record is from Rfam by way of RNAcentral. Lineage: Bacteria; Pseudomonadati; Planctomycetota; Planctomycetia; Gemmatales; Gemmataceae.
GCGCCCGUAGCUCAACUGGAUAGAGCACCCGCCUUCUAAGCGGGUGGCUGUGGGUUCAAGUCCCGCCGGGCGUA